AACUUGUACCUUCAUUGGACAGGAAUGCUGUACAUAUAUGCCUGCAUAGGAAUCCAACGUAACUGAUUUACUGUCCUGUGUGAAAACAGUCAGUAAUCAAAUGGUUUCCUUUGCUGAUGCUUCUACCUCUGACUUACUUCUCUCCUAGGUAAAUGGGGAAGCGUAGUUCUUAGUAUUCUUUUAUGUUUAGUGGGAAUCCUUUGUUCUUGCUGCUGCUCAUCUUUUUGCUAUGGAUUUGGAGUGCAAGCCACCAUGGAUGUCUGGCCCUAGGGUCUACAGGGAAGAAUGAUGGAUAAGAUUGUGGAGCCAUCAAUUUGUUGGGGGUGGAGUGUACGGCUGUUGUCAUAACUGAUGCCAUCUUGGGCUCAUCCAGUUCCUCCUGUCCUUCCACUGACCCUACCCAGGACUGUAGUACAUGGGAAAUCGCUUCUCUUUCAACAAGGGCUUGGUAGUAAAUAGAUAUUGGUUAAUGACCGUUAGGUCCAGGUGGCCUCUGUGCUCUGUUAGCCUCCAGUAAUGAAGACCUUCACUGACAUAUUCCUGGCAAACCAUGAAACUAGUUACUAAUUCAUAAAUCUUGACUUAGGAAUGUGCUUCCUGUUUCCAAGCAUCUACCCCCAUACCAUAAGUUAACUAUAAAAUUGUCCCAACGGCCCCUCGGCGGUGCAGAGAGCAGCUGCUGCAGAUGCCUCUGGAUUCUUGUCCACCUAAUCCUAUUCAGCAAGUAAAUUAUCCUGUAAUAAAUGGAUCCAUUGGUUAUAUGGAGCUGUCUGCCUCCUUUUUUGGUCUCAAGAAUUGGUCCAAGAAGUCCUGAAGCCACAUCUUUUAGAGUUUCUACAUGGGAGUGGUACCUCCGUGUCAUGCAGUUACUGUCAUUGGGACAAGGCCCCUGAGUUUCUUCUGCAAACCACCGAAUCUGGCUUCAGAUCUCCACCUCCGGAAGCUGGAAUCUGAUAAUUAUAGGAACAUUAAUUUUACUUUGGAAUGUAGACAAUAGAAGAGCCAUUCAGCUGGGAUACUUUUCCCUCAAGCACAGGCUCCGGAAGCGCAGGCUCAGUGACCAUGGCGCACGGGCCCAGUCGCUCCGUGGCAUGUGGAGUCUUCCCAGACCGGGGCGCGAACUCACGUCCACUGCAUCGGCAGGUGGACUCUCAACCACUGCGCCACCAGGGAAGCCCUAAACCCUACUUUUUUGAUUUGUAAAAAUGACAGUUCCACAUGGUUCAAUCUAAUAUUUAACACAAUUUUAAUUUGUCUUGUAAGGCCGCACCAAAUCUUAGAAUCAACCAAAAAUAAAUCAAGAUGUUGUU
Long non-coding RNA from Orcinus orca (killer whale), 1310 nucleotides. RefSeq lists it as uncharacterized. The transcript has 5 exons. The record is from RefSeq and is a predicted model, not a curated record. NCBI's taxonomy places the organism in Eukaryota, Metazoa, Chordata, Mammalia, Artiodactyla, Delphinidae.